GGAAUUGAUACGAGUUGAAGAUAUGGAUAAAAGCUAUCAAUCUAACCACCUGCGGUCAAGAACUUUGCCGUAGGGGGGUGGCAGUAAAGCCACUGCUGCCACCACCCGUAAUGGACAAAAAUGAAAAAUUUGGUAUGGGUUUGUCAGCUUCUGGUGCACUUUCCCACCCGGGCAUUUUCAUGAAUAAAAGGGUCUGGGACAAGCUUUCAAUCCCACUAGGUGUGGGUAAAAACUUUGCCGUAGGGAACUGUACAGAAAGAGUGAAAAAAAUGAGCCCAUACCCAUUACUGUAUAGGUACCUCAGACUUUGGAUGGACAGUGAAGUCUUCAGGUGCACUUUCCCACCCUGGAAUUGAUACGAGUUGAAGAUAUGGAUAAAAGCUAUCAAUCUAACCACCUGCGGUCAAGAACUUUGCCGUAGGGGGAUGGCAGUAAAGCCACUGCUGCCACACCCGUAAUGGACAAAAAUGAGAAAUUUGGUAUGGGUUGUCAGCUUCUGGUGCACUUUCCCACCCGGGCAUUUUCAUGAAUAAAAGGGUCUGGGACAAGCUUUCAAUCCCACUAGGUGUGGGUAAAAAACUUUGCCGUAGGGAACUGUACAGAAAGAGUGAAAAAAUGAGCCCAUACCCAUUAACUGUAUAGGUACCUCAGACUUUGGAUGGACAGUGAAGUCUUCAGGUGCACUUUCCCACCCUGGAAUUGAUACGAGUUGAAGAUAUGGAUAAAAGCUAUCAAUCUAACCACCUGCGGUCAAGAACUUUGCCGUAGGGGGUGGCAGUAAAGCCACUGCUGCCACCACCCGUAAUGGACAAAAAUGAGAAAUUGGUAUGGGGUUGUCAGCUUCUGGUGCACUUUCCCACCCGGGCAUUUUCAUGAAUAAAAGGGUCUGGGACAAGCUUUCAAUCCCACUAGGUGUGGGUAAAAAACUUUGCCGUAGGGAACUGUACAGAAAGAGUGAAAAAUGAGCCCAUACCCAUUACUGUAUAGGUACCUCAGACUUUGGAUGGACAGUGAAGUCUUCAGGUGCACUUUCCCACCCUGGAAUUGAUACGAGUUGAAGAUAUGGAUAAAAGCUAUUCAAUCUAACCACCUGCGGUCAAGAACUUUGCCGUAGGGGGAUGGCAGUAAAGCGACUGCUGCCACCACCCGUAAUGGACAAAAAUGAGAAAUUGGUAUGGGUUUGUCAGCUUCUGGUGCACUUUCCCACCCGGGCAUUUUCAUGAAUAAAAGGGUCUGGGACAAGCUUUCAAUCCCACUAGGUGUGGGUAAAAACUUUGCCGUAGGGAACUGUACAGAAAGAGUGAAAAAAUGAGCCCAUACCCAUUACUGUAUAGGUACCUCAGACUUUGGAUGGACAGUGAAGUCUUCAGGUGCACUUUCCCACCCUGGAAUUGAUACGAGUUGAAGAUAUGGAUAAAGCUAUUCAAUCUAACCACCUGCGGUCAAGAACUUUGCCGUAGGGGGGUGGCAGUAAAGCCACUGCUGCCACCACUCGUAAUGGCUAAAAAUGAGAAAUUGAGUAUGGGUUGUCAGCUUCUGGUGCACUUUCCCACCCGGGCAUUUUCAUGAAUAAAAGGGUCUGGGACAAGCUUUCAAUCCCACUAGGUGUGGGUAAAAACUUUGCCGUAGGGAACUGUACAGAAAGAGUGAAAAAAAUGAGCCCAUACCCAUUAACUGUAUAGGUACCUCAGACUUUGGAUGGACAGUGAAGUCUUCAGGUGCACUUUCCCACCCUGGAAUUGAUACGAGUUGAAGAUAUGGAUAAAAGCUAUUCAAUCUAACCACCUGCGGUCAAGAACUUUGCCGUAGGGGGAUGGCAGUAAAGCCACUGCUGCCACCACCCGUAAUGGACAAAAAUGAGAAAUUGAGUAUGGGUUGUCAGCUUCUGGUGCACUUUCCCACCCGGGGGCAUUUUCAUGAAUAAAAGGGUCUGGGACAAGCUUUCAAUCCCACUAGGUGUGGGUAAAAACUUUGCCGUAGGGAACUGUACAGAAAGAGUGAAAAAAUGAGCCCAUACCCAUUACUGUAUAGGUACCUCAGACUUUGGAUGGACAGUGAAGUCUUCAGGUGCACUUUCCCACCCUGGAAUUGAUACGAGUUGAAGAUAUGGAUAAAAGCUAUCAAUCUAACCACCUGCGGUCAAGAACUUUGCCGUAGGGGGGUGGCAGUAAAGCCACUGCUGCCACCACCCGUAAUGGACAAAAAUGAGAAAUUGAGUAUGGGGUUGUCAGCUUCUGGUGCACUUUCCCACCCGGGCAUUUUCAUGAAUAAAAGGGUCUGGGACAAGCUUUCAAUCCCACUAGGUGUGGGUAAAAACUUUGCCGUAGGGAACUGUACAGAAAGAGUGAAAAAAAUGAGCCCAUACCCAUUACUGUAUAGGUACCUCAGACUUUGGAUGGACAGUGAAGUCUUCAGGUGCACUUUCCCACCCUGGAAUUGAUACGAGUUGAAGAUAUGGAUAAAAGCUAUCAAUCUAACCACCUGCGGUCAAGAACUUUGCCGUAGGGGGAUGGCAGUAAAGCCACUGCUGCCACCACCCCGUAAUGGACAAAAAUGAGAAAUUGAGUAUGGGUUUGUCAGCUUCUGGUGCACUUUCCCACCCGGGCAUUUUCAUGAAUAAAAGGGUCUGGGACAAGCUUUCAAUCCCACUAGGUGUGGGUAAAAACUUUGCCGUAGGGAACUGUACAGAAAGAGUGAAAAAUGAGCCCAUACCCAUUACUGUAUAGGUACCUCAGACUUUGGAUGGACAGUGAAGUCUUCAGGUGCACUUUCCCACCCUGGAAUUGAUACGAGUUGAAGAUAUGGAUAAAAGCUAUUCAAUCUAACCACCUGCGGUCAAGAACUUUGCCGUAGGGGGGUGGCAGUAAAGCCACUGCUGCCACCACCCGUAAUGGACAAAAAUGAGAAAUUGGUAUGGGGUUGUCAGCUUCUGGUGCACUUUCCCACCCGGGCAUUUUCAUGAAUAAAAGGGUCUGGGACAAGCUUUCAAUCCCACUAGGUGUGGGUAAAAACUUUGCCGUAGGGAACUGUACAGAAAGAGUGAAAAAAUGAGCCCAUACCCAUUACUGUAUAGGUACCUCAGACUUUGGAUGGACAGUGAAGUCUUCAGGUGCACUUUCCCACCCUGGAAUUGAUACGAGUUGAAGAUAUGGAUAAAAGCUAUCAAUCUAACCACCUGCGGUCAAGAACUUUGCCGUAGGGGGGUGGCAGUAAAGCCACUGCUGCCACCACCCGUAAUGGACAAAAAUGAGAAAUUGGUAUGGGUUGUCAGCUUCUGGUGCACUUUCCCACCCGGGCAUUUUCAUGAAUAAAAGGGUCUGGGACAAGCUUUCAAUCCCACUAGGUGUGGGUAAAAACUUUGCCGUAGGGAACUGUACAGAAAGAGUGAAAAAAUGAGCCCAUACCCAUUACUGUAUAGGUACCUCAGACUUUGGAUGGACAGUGAAGUCUUCAGGUGCACUUUCCCACCCUGGAAUUGAUACGAGUUGAAGAUAUGGAUAAAAGCUAUCAAUCUAACCACCUGCGGUCAAGAACUUUGCCGUAGGGGGGUGGCAGUAAAGCCACUGCUGCCACCACCCGUAAUGGACAAAAAUGAGAAAUUGGUAUGGGGUUGUCAGCUUCUGGUGCACUUUCCCACCCGGGCAUUUUCAUGAAUAAAAGGGUCUGGGACAAGCUUUCAAUCCCACUAGGUGUGGGUAAAAACUUUGCCGUAGGGAACUGUACAGAAAGAGUGAAAAAAUGAGCCCAUACCCAUUACUGUAUAGGUACCUCAGACUUUGGAUGGACAGUGAAGUCUUCAGGUGCACUUUCCCACCCUGGAAUUGAUACGAGUUGAAGAUAUGGAUAAAAGCUAUCAAUCUAACCACCUGCGGUCAAGAACUUUGCCGUAGGGGGGUGGCAGUAAAGCCACUGCUGCCACCACCCGUAAUGGACAAAAAUGAGAAAUUGGUAUGGGUUGUCAGCUUCUGGUGCACUUUCCCACCCGGGCAUUUUCAUGAAUAAAAGGGUCUGGGACAAGCUUUCAAUCCCACUAGGUGUGGGUAAAAACUUUGCCGUAGGGAACUGUACAGAAAGAGUGAAAAAAUGAGCCCAUACCCAUUACUGUAUAGGUACCUCAGACUUUGGAUGGACAGUGAAGUCUUCAGGUGCACUUUCCCACCCUGGAAUUGAUACGAGUUGAAGAUAUGGAUAAAAGCUAUCAAUCUAACCACCUGCGGUCAAGAACUUUGCCGUAGGGGGGUGGCAGUAAAGCCACUGCUGCCACCACCCGUAAUGGACAAAAAAUGAAAAAAUUGGUAUGGGUUGUCAGCUUCUGGUGCACUUUCCCACCCGGGCAUUUUCAUGAAUAAAAGGGUCUGGGACAAGCUUUCAAUCCCACUAGGUGUGGGUAAAAACUUUGCCGUAGGGAACUGUACAGAAAGAGUGAAAAAUGAGCCCAUACCCAUUACUGUAUAGGUACCUCAGACUUUGGAUGGACAGUGAAGUCUUCAGGUGCACUUUCCCACCCUGGAAUUGAUACGAGUUGAAGAUAUGGAUAAAAGCUAUCAAUCUAACCACCUGCGGUCAAGAACUUUGCCGUAGGGGGGUGGCAGUAAAGCCACUGCUGCCACCACCCGUAAUGGACAAAAAUGAGAAAUUGGGUAUGGGUUUGUCAGCUUCUGGUGCACUUUCCCACCCGGGCAUUUUCAUGAAUAAAAGGGUCUGGGACAAGCUUUCAAUCCCACUAGGUGUGGGUAAAAACUUUGCCGUAGGGAACUGUACAGAAAGAGUGAAAAAUGAGCCCAUACCCAUUACUGUAUAGGUACCUCAGACUUUGGAUGGACAGUGAAGUCUUCAGGUGCACUUUCCCACCCUGGAAUUGAUACGAGUUGAAGAUAUGGAUAAAAGCUAUUCAAUCUAACCACCUGCGGUCAAGAACUUUGCCGUAGGGGGAUGGCAGUAAAGCCACUGCUGCCACCACCCGUAAUGGACAAAAAUGAGAAAUUGGUAUGGGUUGUCAGCUUCUGGUGCACUUUCCCACCCGGGCAUUUUCAUGAAUAAAAGGGUCUGGGACAAGCUUUCAAUCCCACUAGGUGUGGGUAAAAACUUUGCCGUAGGGAACUGUACAGAAAGAGUGAAAAAUGAGCCCAUACCCAUUACUGUAUAGGUACCUCAGACUUUGGAUGGACAGUGAAGUCUUCAGGUGCACUUUCCCACCCUGGAAUUGAUACGAGUUGAAGAUAUGGAUAAAGCUAUCAAUCUAACCACCUGCGGUCAAGAACUUUGCCGUAGGGGGAUGGCAGUAAAGCCACUGCUGCCACCACCCGUAAUGGACAAAAAUGAGAAAUUGGUAUGGGUUGUCAGCUUCUGGUGCACUUUCCCACCCGGGCAUUUUCAUGAAUAAAAGGGUCUGGGACAAGCUUUCAAUCCCACUAGGUGUGGGUAAAAAACUUUGCCGUAGGGAACUGUACAGAAAGAGUGAAAAAAUGAGCCCAUACCCAUUAACUGUAUAGGUACCUCAGACUUUGGAUGGACAGUGAAGUCUUCAGGUGCACUUUCCCACCCUGGAAUUGAUACGAGUUGAAGAUAUGGAUAAAAGCUAUCAAUCUAACCACCUGCGGUCAAGAACUUUGCCGUAGGGGGGUGGCAGUAAAGCCACUGCUGCCACCACCCGUAAUGGACAAAAAUGAGAAAUUGAGUAUGGGUUGUCAGCUUCUGGUGCACUUUCCCACCCGGGCAUUUUCAUGAAUAAAAGGGUCUGGGACAAGCUUUCAAUCCCACUAG
This 5763-nucleotide long non-coding RNA is filed under the name Mytilus galloprovincialis (Mediterranean mussel). Lineage: Eukaryota; Metazoa; Mollusca; Bivalvia; Mytilida; Mytilidae. The record is from RNAcentral.